This 72-nucleotide transfer RNA is filed under the name Actinomycetota bacterium. RNAcentral describes it as "Actinobacteria bacterium (sediment metagenome) tRNA-Val". It matches the Rfam family "tRNA". Rfam says of the family: Transfer RNA (tRNA) molecules are approximately 80 nucleotides in length. Their secondary structure includes four short double-helical elements and three loops (D, anti-codon, and T loops). Lineage: Bacteria; Bacillati; Actinomycetota. The record is from RNAcentral.
GGGCGCCUAGCUCAGCGGGAGAGCGCUUCCCUUACAAGGAAGAGGUCGGGGGUUCGAAUCCCUCGGCGCCCA